AUGCAGUGAUGACUUUUAAUUUCUUCAACUGAAACUAGCCAUGAUGCUUUUUGAGCUUUUUAACCCUGAGCAUU
RNAcentral lists this small nucleolar RNA (74 nucleotides) under Sander lucioperca (pikeperch). Lineage: Eukaryota; Metazoa; Chordata; Actinopteri; Perciformes; Percidae. The record is from RNAcentral.